GAAAUAAAAAAAGAAUAGAAAUGAAGAAAAAGCAAACGAAACAGAGAGAAGGGGAAGGAAAGAAAGAAAAAGAGAAAAGAAAGAAGAAAAGGGAAAAUUCAAGGUGUGAAGCUUGGAAGUUUAAUAGGGGAAGAAAUCCCGGUUGAAUGAAAGGAAAAUUCGAUGGAUCUCUGAAAAAGAAUUGACGAUAAAAAGGAUCUAGCCCAGACCGGUGAUCCUAUCCUGAUAUAGCCCUCCCGAAGAAUAUGUGUAAAUGGAUUUAGCCCGAACGGGUAAUUCGAAUUAAAGUCUGAAUUUAGCCUAGACUGGUAAUUCAGAUCCAAGCUCAUAAGAGUAAUUGUCAUUGUAGGAGAUUUAGCCUGGACUGGUAAUCCCACUGUAAGGAUGAGGUUCACGGGAGUGUGCUCUUUGAAAUGAAAUGUGUAAGACCAUGGUUGAAAUGAAAUUUAUAAUAACUAUUUCAAUAAA
Gossypium arboreum is the source of this 468-nucleotide long non-coding RNA. RefSeq lists it as uncharacterized. The transcript has 2 exons. NCBI's taxonomy places the organism in Eukaryota, Viridiplantae, Streptophyta, Magnoliopsida, Malvales, Malvaceae. The record is from RefSeq and is a predicted model, not a curated record.